RNAcentral lists this unclassified non-coding RNA (228 nucleotides) under uncultured fungus. Its description in RNAcentral is "sequence contains ITS1, 5.8S rRNA gene". The stretch from base 180 to 228 matches the Rfam family "5.8S ribosomal RNA", at positions 1 to 49 of the family's 154-position model. The record is from RNAcentral. Lineage: Eukaryota; Fungi.
UCUCCGUAGGUGAACCUGCGGAGGGAUCAUUACUGAGUGAGGGUCUCCGGGCCCGACCUCCAACCCUUUGUGAACACAACUUGUUGCUUCGGGGGCGACCCUGCCGUUUCGACGGCGAGCGCCCCCGAAGGUCUCCCAACACUGCAUCUUUGCGUCGGAGUUUAAGUAAAUUUAAACAAAACUUUCAACAACGGAUCUCUUGGUUCUGGCAUCGAUGAAGAACGCAGC